Molecule: transfer RNA, 72 nt
Filed under: Diutina rugosa
Lineage: Eukaryota; Fungi; Ascomycota; Pichiomycetes; Serinales; Debaryomycetaceae
Also listed under: 1 other name
Description: Candida rugosa tRNA
Rfam family: tRNA
About the family: Transfer RNA (tRNA) molecules are approximately 80 nucleotides in length.
Source: Rfam by way of RNAcentral
UCCGGUAUAGUGUAGUGGUUAUCACUCAGCACUCUCCAUGCCGCGACCGGGGUUCGAUUCCCCGUACCGGAG